RNAcentral lists this ribosomal RNA (551 nucleotides) under fungal sp. SNB-GTC2201. RNAcentral's name for it is "LSU rRNA". The stretch from base 209 to 362 matches the Rfam family "5.8S ribosomal RNA". The record is from RNAcentral. Lineage: Eukaryota; Fungi.
CUUCCGUAGGGGGAACCUGCGGAGGGAUCAUUGCUGGAACGCGCUUCGGCGCACCCAGAAACCCUUUGUGAACUUAUACCUAUUUGUUGCCUCGGCGCAGGCCGGCCUCUUCACUGAGGCCCCCUGGAAACAGGGAGCAGCCCGCCGGCGGCCAACUAAACUCUUGUUUCUUUAGUGAAUCUCUGAGUAAAAAACAUAAAUGAAUCAAAACUUUCAACAACGGAUCUCUUGGUUCUGGCAUCGAUGAAGAACGCAGCGAAAUGCGAUAAGUAAUGUGAAUUGCAGAAUUCAGUGAAUCAUCGAAUCUUUGAACGCACAUUGCGCCCUCUGGUAUUCCGGAGGGCAUGCCUGUUCGAGCGUCAUUUCAACCCUCAAGCCUGGCUUGGUGAUGGGGCACUGCCUUCUAACGAGGGCAGGCCCUGAAAUCUAGUGGCGAGCUCGCUAGGACCCCGAGCGUAGUAGUUAUAUCUCGUUCUGGAAGGCCCUGGCGGUGCCCUGCCGUUAAACCCCCAACUUCUGUAAAAUUUGACCUCGGAUCAUGCAGCUAGUCG